Molecule: ribosomal RNA, 465 nt
Filed under: uncultured bacterium
Lineage: Bacteria
Description: partial 16S ribosomal RNA
Rfam family: Bacterial small subunit ribosomal RNA
Source: RNAcentral
GACGAACGCUGGCGGCGUGCUUAACACAUGCAAGUCGAACGGAAAAGCCCCUUUGGGGGUACUCGAGUGGCGAACGGGUGAGUAACACGUGAGUAACCUGCCCUUGACUUCGGGAUAACUUCAGGAAACUGGGGCUAAUACCGGAUAGGAAUCCUUGCUGCAUGGUGGGGGUUGGAAAGCUUCGGCGGUUUUGGAUGGACUCGCGGCUUAUCAGCUUGUUGGUGGGGUAGUGGCUUACCAAGGCUUUGACGGGUAGCCGGCCUGAGAGGGCGACCGGCCACAUUGGGACUGAGAUACGGCCCAGACUCCUACGGGAGGCAGCAGUGGGGAAUAUUGCACAAUGGGCGGAAGCCUGAUGCAGCAACGCCGCGGGCGGGAUGACGGCCUUCGGGUUGUAAACCGCUUUCAGCAGGGGCGAAGCUUGUGGUGACGGUACCUGCAGAAGAAGCACCGGCUAACUACGUG